ACCUGGCUGGCUCAGUGGGUAGAGCAUUAUGACUCUUAAUCUCAUGAUUGUGAGUUCAAGUCCCACAUUUGGUG
RNAcentral lists this transfer RNA (74 nucleotides) under Canis lupus familiaris (dog). It matches the Rfam family "tRNA". Rfam says of the family: Transfer RNA (tRNA) molecules are approximately 80 nucleotides in length. Their secondary structure includes four short double-helical elements and three loops (D, anti-codon, and T loops). The record is from Rfam by way of RNAcentral. RNAcentral also lists the same sequence under 1 other name. Lineage: Eukaryota; Metazoa; Chordata; Mammalia; Carnivora; Canidae.